GAUGAAGAACGCAGCGAAAUGCGAUAAGUAAUGUGAAUUGCAGAGUUCAGUGAAUCAUCGAAUCUUUGAACGCACAUUGCGCCCCCUGGUAUUCCGGGGGGCAUGCCUGUCCGAGCGUCAUUACAACCCUCAAGCUCAGCUUGGUGUUGGGCCCCGCCGCCCCGGCGGGCCCUAAAGUCAGUGGCGGUGCCGUCCGGCUCCGAGCGUAGUAAUUCUUCUCGCUCUGGAGGUCCGGUCGUGUGCUCGCCAGCAACCCCCAAUUUUUUUCAGGUUGACCUCGGAUCAGGUAGGGAUACCCGCUGAACUUAAGCAUAUCAAUAAGCGGAGGA
This 329-nucleotide unclassified non-coding RNA is filed under the name soil metagenome. RNAcentral's name for it is "partial contains 5.8S ribosomal RNA, internal transcribed spacer 2, and large subunit ribosomal RNA". The stretch from base 1 to 120 matches the Rfam family "5.8S ribosomal RNA", at positions 35 to 154 of the family's 154-position model. The record is from RNAcentral.